RNA transcript from Solanum dulcamara, 2852 nucleotides. It is a transcript of the gene named PRA1 family protein A1-like, with no coding region annotated. Lineage: Eukaryota; Viridiplantae; Streptophyta; Magnoliopsida; Solanales; Solanaceae. The transcript is spliced from 8 exons. The record is from RefSeq and is a predicted model, not a curated record.
UUUCAUCUUCAAACACAAUCAUUUUUUUUUUUCGAAAAUUAAACUCUCCGAUCAUUUUUUUUCCUUCUGAAAAAACUUCUCUUGCACGAAAAAUUUGAAUCAAUCUAAGGCGAAAAAUGGAUUGGGGCACCGUCACCACAGAAGAUCUGAUCGAAGCUCUACGCGAGGUCGACUGGUCAUCUCCGCCGCGUCCGCUAUCUGAAUUCUUCUCCAGAUUCACUUUCCCCCGAUCUUCAUCCAAAUGGAACAGUCGACUCAAGUGCAAUCUUUACUACUACCGGACAAAUUACUUCAUUAUGAUUGUGGCUAUUCUUGCACUGGGAUUUCUUAGGAGGCCACUUGCUAUUGUUGCUGCUCUUUUGACAACUCUUAGUAUUGCUUUCCUAAAUGAUAGUUUCGCAGGCACUUUCAGUGAAAAGGUGACAAGAACUGUCAGGCAGUUUUCUCCUCAUUUGGCUGCAAAAAUGAGACCUCCACUCAUGCCAGUUAUUCGAGGGCGUCCAUCUGCUAAACGAGCAAUUUUCAUUUGUGGAAGGCCUCGUUGGGUGUUUGUCUUGGUAUUCUCUCUAGCGAGUUUCUUCCUUUGGUUUGUUUCCUGUGGCCUCUUAACUGUCUUAUGGGCAUUGGCUAUAGGGCUUCUUUCCACUCUUCUUCAUGCAAGCUUUAGGACUCCUAAUCUGAAGGCUCGCCUUAACACCUUCCGUGAGGAAUUCCGAGCUGUCUGGCGCAACUAUAGCGAGCUGUAGCUUCCACGGAGUUUUUCGUGUUAGUUACUAUCCUGAGCUCUUCCAUUAUGUUUAUUCAUUCUUCUUUAUGCAUGUAUGGGCUGUUUGUUUUGUUUUCCUAGUGUCUGUAAAUUAACAUGGUCUAUUCAUGCUUGAAAUAAUUUUACGUUUACUUGUACAAUUUUCUGCCCUUGAAUGAGCUAUUUAGUUUGUAUUUCCCUUUGCUAAAACUAAAGAACAACAGUUGUCAAGUUGUAUUUUCCAAAACCUCUCUGCAAUUUGAAACAAGAAAGUAUCUGAUUUGAUAGCCAGAUGACGGUUGAUUGAAUCACUUGUUACUUCUGCCAAGGAAAUGCGGUGCCUCUCUGUUCAUUUCCUUCACGUGCUUGCAUAUCCUUGUUUGGACAAGUAUUAAAGAAAUUAUGUUGUCAAACCUGCUGUUGUGCUUAUCGAACCUUUGAUGUCGCGAUUGACUCAGCCGGAGCAUUAGAAAAGCUGGGUAUCAUGUAAAUCUAUGAGAGGCUGGAUCUACAGGCUAUUCAAAGUGCACUUUGAGGAAAGUUGUAUUGCUUUUGAGACUGACUGCUUCUGUGGUAUAGAGAUUGUAUUAUGAAGAAAAUAGUCAAAUGAAAGUUAUCAUGAGAAACUACACGCUAAACUUUUCUCUGGCAAAAAUGUUAAAGCAUUUUUGAGAGAAUCUUGUCCAAGAGAUUCUAGGAGCUAAAGAAAAUGAAGUUGAAGAUGCUUUGCAAGUUGUUCUGAAUCACAGAAAAUAUGAACUAAUGAGAACUUCUUCUUCAUUAAGUUCCGGCUUAAGACAUAGUUUCCCCUUGACCUUGUGGGGCAAAAUCCCUUUUACACAUCUUUCCUUUACGGAAACCUUUUAUACACCAGACAUUUCACGGAAUGUGUCUAAUAGUCACCACUUUUGCUCAAUUGGUAUGUGCGUCAAACACUAACAAAAUAGUGCGUGAAAGGCUUAAUUAAGUCUUUACACUUACUUAUCAGCAGUCUAUAUCUGGAGCCAACAAAGCCCAACACUGUUAAAAGGCCCAUUUUUACUCCACUUUUGCUUAAAUCCAUCUUCAUCUCCAUUGCUAUCCAUGGAGCAAGCUUCAGAAAGCAGGCUUCCACCACAUUUUCAAAACAUUAAGAAGUAGAUAAAAAAUGGUGAAAAAGAGCUGGCCGGUUGUAUGAAAAGAUGGCAAUGAAAUGCAAGAAAUAGAGGAAACAAAAACCUUCCACAAAGGGGUUGAUACAAGAAAAUGCAAGAAACAGAGGAAAGAAAGUGGAGAGGAAAUAAGUACCCAUUUGCUGAAUCUGUCAUUUCGAACAAAAGAGAAGUUGGACUUUAAUUUUACAAGCUCCUUGUUGUAGUAAUAGUGUUGCAGUGAAAUCUUGUUAAGGGUAAAGUGAAUAAGUUCAGCUUGGUGCUUCACAGUAGAGAGAGAGAAGAAGUAUAUUGGUGGGAAUUGUCAAAGGAGAAAAGAGUGUUAUUUAGAAAUACAGUAUGAGUAUUGAGCCGCAAAAAAUCUACAUGAAAUCCUACAGGACAUGGCCAUGUUUACGCCACAUAAGUUUUGUAGAUUUUAGCAAAAGUGGUGUGUAUUAUACCCACUUCGUGAAACGUUUAGUAGGUAAAAGGUUCUCCGUUAAGGAGAGGUGUAUAAAAGGGAUUUGGUUACAAGUUCAGGGGGUAAACUAUCCUUAUGAUUCAAGCAUGGAGCAGCAGUUGUGGAAACUUACUAUAUUGCGCGGAGCUUUAUUAUAGUGUGGAUGGUGCAAUCUGUAGUUUUCUUUGACGUGGCAGCUUUCUCAAGUAACGAUCUGCGAUAUCUGCAGAUCAGCCACGGGUUGUAAAUUUCCUUGAAUUCUUACCAUAUUGUAUGGUACUGACUUCUACCAUUCAUGUACGUUGAAAAAUUAGUUUCGGAUUUAGGUGCACAGUAAGUAUUUCCUAGAAAGUCUGUAUUAUCAGUCCAUUCUUAUUGUCUUUGAGAAACUCCUUGCUUCUCUUACUGUUCAAAACUGCAGUAAAGCUGAUUUUAGCUUAAAGUUUUUACCUGAUCUACUAUAAAUGUUCCUGGGAUGCCUCUUUUCUAAAGAAUCCUUUUUCAAAUCGUGCUA